RNAcentral lists this microRNA (22 nucleotides) under Ascaris suum (pig roundworm). Its description in RNAcentral is "asu-miR-279c-3p". Its record names the gene asu-miR-279c-3p. Lineage: Eukaryota; Metazoa; Nematoda; Chromadorea; Rhabditida; Ascarididae. The record is from miRBase by way of RNAcentral.
UGACUAGACUGGUAACCUGCUC